Molecule: ribosomal RNA, 237 nt
Filed under: uncultured bacterium
Lineage: Bacteria
Description: partial 16S ribosomal RNA
Rfam family: Bacterial small subunit ribosomal RNA
Source: RNAcentral
CCGGCACGGGUGAGUAACGCGUAUGCAACUUGCCUAUCAGGAGGGGAUAACCCGGCGAAAGUCGGACUAAUACCGCAUGAAGCAGGGGCCCCGCAUGGGGAUAUUUGCUAAGAUUCAUCGCUGAUAGAUAGGCAUGCGUUCCAUUAGGCAGUUGGCGGGGUAACGGCCCACCAAACCGACGAUGGAUAGGGGUUCUGAGAGGAAGGUCCCCCACAUUGGUACUGAGACACGGACCAA